Molecule: small nuclear RNA, 62 nt
Organism: Otolemur garnettii (small-eared galago)
Lineage: Eukaryota; Metazoa; Chordata; Mammalia; Primates; Galagidae
Gene: U7
Rfam family: U7 small nuclear RNA
About the family: Animal histone pre-mRNAs are spliced by a different mechanism than nuclear pre-mRNAs and self-splicing introns. This processing involves the U7 snRNP, which contains only one RNA species: U7.
Source: Ensembl
AAGUGUUAUAGCUGUUUUAGAAUUUGUCUAGCAGCUUUUCCAGUUCUCACUAGAAGACCCAA